AGAGUCAAAUAAUCAAAUAAUGAUUCGUUCACGUAUCGUGUUCGUGUAAUGGAGGUCUCUCGAUUCAGUUCUAAAUGAUGAAGAACUGCAUGUUUUUCUGGCCCAAUGCAGUACAAAAGAUAUGUUUGUGUGUUGGUUGACCCCAGAGGCCUGAGUGUGACUGCGAGACCACUUGACUGUGAACUUUGACGUGGUGGUCAUCUUCUUGUGGCCUUUUAAAGAGGAGUCAUAAAAGUGUUCAUUCCUUGACUGACUUGUGUCAUAGGGCCUGGAAACUUCUUACACAGCUAAAAGACCUGUGGUACCUUUGAUUGAUCAGAGAGCGUAUUUUGGAUAGACAGUAUGGCGCCCAGUUGCUUCUGUGUACAUUACGGACAGACGUGAAGCUCUCAGCUGAGAGGGGAGACCUAUGCUGGAUCUGAAUUCUCAGAGCUGCUCUGCUGAAGAAUCCCAUUGUCUGGCUUCCCGUGAGUAGAGAGUGGUUCCCAGGACUUGGCUUGUCUAAAUAAGUCAUGACAGAGUGGACUCCCUCCCGCAAUAGCCUCUCUGACUCACUUAUCUCUGGCAGACGCACUCUCAACACAAACCAGUGCCGUCUCUCUGUCACACAGUCUAAUCUGUAAUGUCAUGGUUCACUGAAACACUCCCACUCUCUCCAAAAACUGGCACGACCUCCUUCAGCACUUUGAUAAUCCAGUAUGAUUUAUACACUACCGUUCAAAAGUUUGAGGUCAAUAAGAUUUUUUUUAAAAUAAGCUGCAUUUAUUUGAUCAAAA
Long non-coding RNA from Cyprinus carpio carpio, 776 nucleotides. NCBI's taxonomy places the organism in Eukaryota, Metazoa, Chordata, Actinopteri, Cypriniformes, Cyprinidae. The record is from Ensembl.